ACCGAGAUCAAGAUCAAGGAGGAGUUGUUGUAGUUGUCAUCGAUGACAAGAAAAAAAUGACAAGGAGCAUCCCUUCCAUGAAGUCUAGAUGUAGGAGCAAACCAAGUCACUCAUCAAGAUCUGAGAGCAAAGAAAACUAGUCAGAAACCAUCUCUGGGCAAAGUCAGGUGGUUCGACCGUGAGAUAGAAAAAUCAUCUCUGGGCAAAGUCAGGUGGUUCGACCGUGAGACAGAAAAAUAAAUAUUUUUCUAUCUUUAAUUUUGAUUUAGCAAGAGUUAAAUCCCAUAAACAAGAAAGUUUUGAUCUAAAAGAAUCCUUAGCCUCG
RNAcentral lists this long non-coding RNA (325 nucleotides) under Elaeis guineensis (African oil palm). RNAcentral describes it as "long non-coding RNA (EGUI_LNC041911)". Lineage: Eukaryota; Viridiplantae; Streptophyta; Magnoliopsida; Arecales; Arecaceae. The record is from RNAcentral.